GAACCAUACUGUUCCAAUAUUGUACAUGAUGUAGUACCACAUGGGUUCCCAAGUUUUGUGUAUACUAGACCUUUGUACCUCAUACAUGGAAAUGAUUAAUAGCGACUGAAUCAAAUGGAGAAUCUUCAGAGUUAAAUGCAUAGAAAGGAAAUAUGAAGAUAGCCAAUGCAUGACAUGAGGAGAAGCUGAGUUAUGAAUUUUGAAAUUGGUAUAAAGGAGAUGCUUACAUCAGAGAAGAUUUAAAGCAAAGUUUACAGUAUGUUGAGAAAAGAUCAUAACAAGCUUUUGGUAUGUUGAGAAAAGUUUGUUUGAAGAGGAAUCAUAGUGGUCAAAAUCUUUGAAUAAAGUGAAUUGUAUUAGAAGUGAAGCUUUAACAGACACGAGACAAUAAUUAAUAUUUAAUUGUUAUUUCAUAGACUAAUGUGAGUAGCAUUUGUAUGACUUGAAUGUCAUAUUUUUCAUAUGAAGACAUACAAGGCAAAAAAUUGGAUGUGACAAAAAUUUGUUUGCAUUUAAAGACUUGAAGAACUUGUACUGUCUUAUGUAGAAUUCAGGAGAAUUUGUUUAAGACAAUAAAUUCUGUGU
Mytilus californianus (California mussel) is the source of this 585-nucleotide long non-coding RNA. RefSeq lists it as uncharacterized. NCBI's taxonomy places the organism in Eukaryota, Metazoa, Mollusca, Bivalvia, Mytilida, Mytilidae. The transcript is spliced from 3 exons. The record is from RefSeq and is a predicted model, not a curated record.